GUGGAUAUAGUUCAAUUGGUAGAACAACUAUAUGUGGCAUAGUAAGUUUUCUGUUCAAGUCAGGGUAUCCACC
RNAcentral lists this transfer RNA (73 nucleotides) under Phlyctis boliviensis. Its description in RNAcentral is "tRNA-His". Lineage: Eukaryota; Fungi; Ascomycota; Lecanoromycetes; Phlyctidaceae. The record is from RNAcentral.